GCGACAUUGGUGUAGCGGUUAACAUGGUGUGUCCAUAUGAAAAGGCACUUCCAGGUCUACACACAGACCCAGGUUCGAAUCCUGGAUGUCGCG
This 93-nucleotide transfer RNA is filed under the name Marasmius sp. AFHP31. RNAcentral describes it as "tRNA-Met". It matches the Rfam family "tRNA". From Rfam's summary of the family: Transfer RNA (tRNA) molecules are approximately 80 nucleotides in length. Their secondary structure includes four short double-helical elements and three loops (D, anti-codon, and T loops). Further hydrogen bonds mediate the characteristic L-shaped molecular structure. tRNAs have two regions of fundamental functional importance: the anti-codon, which is responsible for specific mRNA codon recognition, and the 3' end, to which the tRNAs corresponding amino acid is attached (by aminoacyl-tRNA synthetases). tRNAs cope with the degeneracy of the genetic code in two manners: having more than one tRNA (with a specific anti-codon) for a particular amino acid; and 'wobble' base-pairing, i.e. permitting non-standard base-pairing at the 3rd anti-codon position. The record is from RNAcentral. Lineage: Eukaryota; Fungi; Basidiomycota; Agaricomycetes; Agaricales; Marasmiaceae.